AGAGUUAUAGAGCUCCUUCUGGGAUCCGUAAGUCCCCAGAUAUCAGAAGGGACACCAGCCUUUACAGUAAUGACAGCCAGAUUCCAGCUUUCGUAUGAAGCUACCAGCUGCCUUGGAAAGGACCCACAGAUAAGAGCCAGGUGCUGUCUGCAUCCUUCCAACUCAUGGUGACUUUGGGAAUGGCCAUCCAGAGGCUCAGGAGUGGAGAUGCUGCUGUCAGGCACGGAGGAGGUUCAAGAGUGCCUGGACUCCAGCACCCAAAAUGAGCAGGAAGGCCCAGAUGAAGAUUUCUGUCAGGACAUACUUUUGCUCUGAGAAGAGUAGCAAGUCUUGAACAGAGGUCAUGGGUUUCUUGAGGUGUCUGUUCCAGCUUCAUAAAUAUUAAGCAUUAUUUUUCACAUGUCUUAUACAUUUCUGUGUAAUCCCUGUAAUAUAAGGGCAGGAAGAAUUGUAUAUUCUUUAUAAAUGUGUGACAGAUACAAUUAGCCUUACUUUCUACAUGGGGAGACUGAGACUCGGAUGAGAAAAGUCAGUCUUUCAAGUCACACAUUUCAUCACCGGCAGAGUCUGGGGCAUGAGUUCCUAUCUCCUGAUUCCCAGGUACAUGCUGUUUUUGCUAGACUCAAAGUAUUAAAGAAUCCAGACUCUUUGGAAGUAAUGAGGGAUUCCAGAAAUAGCCUUAGCAGUGCUUAACAAUUUGAAAGACCAAAGGCACUGAGGCCAAAGAAGAUUGAGACAGGAUGGAAGUACUCUCUUGUUCAGUCAGCUGGAUGACUGAAAGGAAAUCCCUAAGAACAUUGUCCUAUUGCUCCACGAUCUAGUACUGGGUGAGCCUAUGCGUUCAUGAGACAGAAAGCAGGAUAAUUGAGGCCCUGCAUCUCUUGGUCAAACAGGUAAGACACCACAUGGUACAUUUUUGAAAUCUACUGAGUUUCACACAAGACGGGAAAAAUGAAAAGUUUGUAAUCACGUUAUACAGCUUCAAGUUUCUAGAAAAUUUAUAUACAUCGAAGUACAGAUUUAAAUGUUUAGGAGUUGGACUCUCCAAAAUUUUACA
Herpailurus yagouaroundi (jaguarundi) is the source of this 1057-nucleotide long non-coding RNA. RefSeq lists it as uncharacterized. The transcript is spliced from 4 exons. The record is from RefSeq and is a predicted model, not a curated record. NCBI's taxonomy places the organism in Eukaryota, Metazoa, Chordata, Mammalia, Carnivora, Felidae.